UACGAAUGAAGACUCAGGUGCUUGCACUGGGUGGAUGAGUGGCGAACGGGUGAGUAAUACGUGAGUAACCUGCCCUUGACUCUGGGAUAAGCCUGGGAAACUGGGUCUAAUACUGGAUAUGACAUGUCACCGCAUGGUGGUGUGUGGAAAGGGUUUUACUGGUUUUGGAUGGGCUCACGGCCUAUCAGCUUGUUGGUGGGGUAAUGGCUCACCAAGGCGACGACGGGUAGCCGGCCUGAGAGGGUGACCGGCCACACUGGGACUGAGACACGGCCCAGACUCCUACGGGAGGCAGCAGUGGGGAAUAUUGCACAAUGGGCGGAAGCCUGAUGCAGCGACGCCGCGUGAGGGAUGACGGCCUUCGGGUUGUAAACCUCUUUCAGCACGGAAGAAGCGAAAGUGACGGUACGUGCAGAAGAAGCGCCGGCUAACUACGUGCCAGCAGCCGCGGUAAUACGUAGGGCGCAAGCGUUGUCCGGAAUUAUUGGGCGUAAAGAGCUCGUAGGCGGUUUGUCGCGUCUGCUGUGAAAGCCCGGGGCUUAACCCCGGGUGUGCAGUGGGUACGGGCAGACUUGAGUGCAGUAGGGGAGACUGGAAUUCCUGGUGUAGCGGUGAAAUGCGCAGAUAUCAGGAGGAACACCGAUGGCGAAGGCAGGUCUCUGGGCUGUUACUGACGCUGAGGAGCGAAAGCAUGGGGAGCGAACAGGAUUAGAUACCCUGGUAGUCCAUGCCGUAAACGUUGGGCACUAGGUGUGGGGAACAUUCCACGUUUUCCGCGCCGUAGCUAACGCAUUAAGUGCCCCGCCUGGGGAGUACGGCCGCAAGGCUAAAACUCAAAGGAAUUGACGGGGGCCCGCACAAGCGGCGGAGCAUGCGGAUUAAUUCGAUGCAACGCGAAGAACCUUACCAAGGCUUGACAUACACCGGACCGGGCCAGAAAUGGUCUUUCCCCCUUGUGGGGCUGGUGUACAGGUGGUGCAUGGUUGUCCUCAGCUCCUGUCCGGAAAUGUUGGGUUAAGUCCCCCAACGAAGGCAACCCUCGUUCUAUGUUGCCAGCACUUGAUGGUGGGGACUCAUAGGAAACUGCCGGGGUCAAUUCGGAGGAAGGUGGGGAUAACGUCAAAUCAUCUGGCCCCUUAAGGCUUGGGCUUCACGCAGGCUACAAUGGCCAGUACAAUGGGGUGCCAUGCCCCGAGGUGGAACUAAUCCCAAAAGCUGGGUCAAUUUCGGAAUUGGUUUCGGAAUCCCCACCGGGAACUCG
RNAcentral lists this ribosomal RNA (1261 nucleotides) under Kocuria sp. SJ31. RNAcentral's name for it is "bacterial SSU rRNA". It matches the Rfam family "Bacterial small subunit ribosomal RNA", at positions 62 to 1328 of the family's 1533-position model. The record is from RNAcentral. Lineage: Bacteria; Bacillati; Actinomycetota; Actinomycetes; Micrococcales; Micrococcaceae.